CACCAGACUCCUACGGGAGGCAGCAGUGGGGAAUAUUGCACAAUGGGGGAAACCCUGAUGCAGCAACGCCGCGUGAGUGAAGAAGUCAUUCGUGAUGUAAAGCUCUAUCAGCAGGGAAGAAAAUGACGGUACCUGAGUAAGAAGCCCCGGCUAACUACGUGCCAGCAGCCGCGGUAAUACGGAGGAUGCGAGCGUUAUCCGGAUUUAUUGGGUUUAAAGGGUGCGUAGGCGGGAUGCCAAGUCAGCGGUAAAAAUGCGGUGCUCAACGCCGUCGAGCCGUUGAAACUGGCGUUCUUGAGUGGGCGAGAAGUAUGCGGAAUGCGUGGUGUAGCGGUGAAAUGCAUAGAUAUCACGCAGAACUCCGAUUGCGAAGGCAGCAUACCGGCGCCCAACUGACGCUGAAGCACGAAAGCGUGGGUAUCGAACAGGAUUAGAUACCCGCGUAA
This 446-nucleotide ribosomal RNA is filed under the name uncultured bacterium. RNAcentral describes it as "bacterial SSU rRNA". It matches the Rfam family "Bacterial small subunit ribosomal RNA", at positions 329 to 793 of the family's 1533-position model. The record is from RNAcentral.